ACAUAGCCCCGAUGGGAACGGCAUCCUUUUUCUCGGUGGCUAGGGCUGAGCUUUGGCACCGAGAAAAAGAUAUAGUGGACAGCGGGUUGGAAA
This 93-nucleotide small RNA is filed under the name Epilithonimonas lactis. RNAcentral's name for it is "Chryseobacterium halperniae Flavo-1 RNA". It matches the Rfam family "Flavo-1 RNA". The record is from RNAcentral. Lineage: Bacteria; Pseudomonadati; Bacteroidota; Flavobacteriia; Flavobacteriales; Weeksellaceae.